RNAcentral lists this ribosomal RNA (199 nucleotides) under Fusarium oxysporum f. sp. matthiolae. Its description in RNAcentral is "partial 28S ribosomal RNA". It matches the Rfam family "Eukaryotic large subunit ribosomal RNA", at positions 3202 to 3399 of the family's 3401-position model. The record is from RNAcentral. Lineage: Eukaryota; Fungi; Ascomycota; Sordariomycetes; Hypocreales; Nectriaceae. RNAcentral also lists the same sequence under 4 other names.
UUGUCUCAGCAUUAAAAUCUUUGCCUCAGAAUCUACCACCUUGUUCCAAGCGCGACAUGGUAUUUCGCGUAUUGUAAUUUCAACACGAGCGGGGUCAAAUCCUUUGCAGACGACUUAGCUGUGCGAAACGGUCCUGUAAGCAGUAGAGUAGCCUUGUUGUUACGAUCUGCUGAGGGUAAGCCGUCCUUCGCCUCGAUUU